GGGAAAUAUGGACCCUAAUAGAGACUACACAUCAAAUUCUUUCCAUGAUGCAAGUCUUCACAGAAGACAAAACCAAUGCAUGGAGCAGGUGAACGUCAAGGACAACGCCUUUGAAAUCUUAUGGGGAAAUUACACUCCAAAGUAGAAUCAUAUCCCAGCUAAGAAGGCCUCAUGGUGGGUAAGCAACAACUUUUCAGUCUUUAGGCAAGUUCUUGGGAGCCCAUCAAUCUGCCAAUCAGAAGAAAAGGCAAAAGGACCAGCAGGAGUCACGGCUGCACGGAAACAGCUACCAUCCCAUAAAAUUAUUGCCUUUACCAAAUUGGAAUAAACCUGUCAAGACGA
Molecule: long non-coding RNA, 342 nt
Filed under: Mus pahari (shrew mouse)
Lineage: Eukaryota; Metazoa; Chordata; Mammalia; Rodentia; Muridae
Description: lncRNA (MGP_PahariEiJ_G0005026.1)
Source: RNAcentral